AUGCCGGACAGGAGGGGCGCGACCGUGCUGGAAGACCUGCCCGCCGAAAUCACCGUCGACAAGAUACUCGCCCGACUGCCGCCCAAGGACGUGGGCCGCUGCCGGGCCGUGCGCAGGUCAUGGCGCAGCGCCACCUCCACGCCCGAGUUCACGCUCGAGCACCACCGCCGCCAGCCGUCGCUCCCCAUCGUCGACGGCCGCCCCUCCCGCUUCGUCGUGCUCCGCGACGGAGCCGCCUCCGACGAGCAGCUCUGGCCCUUUCUCCCGCACGCCACAGACAACGACCGCAUCUGCCUCCACGCCGCCAGCGGCGGGCUCCUCGUCUUCUCCCAGGGAUGCCGGUUCCACAUCAGCAACCCGGCCACCCGCCGGCGGGCUCCUCUGCCGCAGCCCCCAAAUUCUCUGCCGCGCUACGGCAUACUCGGCCUCUACUGGCAUGAUUCAACCGGGGAGUACAGGGUGCUCUGGUCCUCGUGUAUGAAGCUGCAGGACAGGAACGCGAUAACGUUGCACGUCCUCACAGUGGGAGACAACGAGUCGAGAGCCAUCAGGGUCACACUGCCGACGCCACGCCUAGAACAGGCACUGCUCGAGGGACUGCCCCGGAACAACCACUAUUCUGAAGUUCAUCCGCCAGUCCGCCAACGCGACAAUCUGCAUUGGUUACGGAGAUGUUGCGCCGCCGGCAUGGGGGAGAUCAUUGUGUUCGACACGGAAGCCGAGUCGUUCCGGUGGAUGCACCUUCCCAUCCAGCCAGGCCAUUUCGACAAGCUGUUCGACAUGGAGGGAAAUCUUGCAUUGUGUAGUGUCUACCGCCACGGCACUGCUAUGGGUGUUUGGGUGAUGCAGGACUACGAGGCGGAAAAUUGGACGUUCAAGUUCCGGAUUGACGUGUCGGUGAUCGAGUCAUCACGGCCACUUGAUUUAACUCCUGAUCUGAAGAAGGAAAAGGGAAAGAUAAAGAAACACCCACUUGAUUCGACGAUGGUGGAAUAUAUCAGCGCGAUGACUAUGCUCGACGAGCGUGAGUUGCUGAUUCAGUUCAAUGCUAAACACGUGCUGCAUUGCGACACUAAUGGAAAGUUCUUAAGGAUGGCGAAGAUUGGGAAGCGACAGUGUCGUAUGGAGCUUACUCCCCAUCGCCUUCAAGAGAGCAUUAUUCCCAUUCCGGGAGGUGAGAUGGAAAAAGAAGAUGAGCCUGCACCUUGG
RNAcentral lists this ribosomal RNA (1209 nucleotides) under Triticum aestivum (bread wheat). RNAcentral's name for it is "partial small subunit ribosomal RNA". Lineage: Eukaryota; Viridiplantae; Streptophyta; Magnoliopsida; Poales; Poaceae. The record is from RNAcentral.